CAAACGGCCCUUUUUAGGGCCACUAAAUUUUACUGGCGCAAAGUG
Molecule: non-coding RNA, 45 nt
Organism: Trichuris trichiura (human whipworm)
Lineage: Eukaryota; Metazoa; Nematoda; Enoplea; Trichinellida; Trichuridae
Source: Rfam